CAGGAACACUCUACAGGGAACAAACACAGGCCCUCACCAGGAUGGGGCCAGAUGAUGGGGCCUCUGGAAGAGAGAAAGGCUUCCCUCAGAGAGUCGCGGGGGAGGCCCCCAGGUCGAGGAGUGAGGUUCAGAGGUUAGGUUGGUCACAGUGUCACUCGGAUAGUGGACACAGCAUUUGAACCACGGCACACCAGAGUCUGAAGCCCUUCCUCUGGCCAGAGCCCCCAGAUGGAGAGGAACAAUGACACUGUGGAGCGCUGCGGUGUCCAUCCUCCCGCUCUGUUCCCCCAGCACUUCUCACUGUCUGAAGUUUGCCCGUGGUCCGUGUGUCCCUGUUCUCGAUUGUGAGCUCCCGGUCCAGGCCGCCCCCACCCAUCCCCCAGAUGACUGCUCCAGCCCCGGCGAGACCCUGCUCCACACUUGCCGCCUCAGACU
Molecule: long non-coding RNA, 435 nt
Filed under: Equus caballus (horse)
Lineage: Eukaryota; Metazoa; Chordata; Mammalia; Perissodactyla; Equidae
Description: lncRNA (ENSECAG00000060065.1)
Source: RNAcentral